RNAcentral lists this transfer RNA (85 nucleotides) under Candidatus Acetothermia bacterium. RNAcentral describes it as "tRNA-Leu". It matches the Rfam family "tRNA". From Rfam's summary of the family: Transfer RNA (tRNA) molecules are approximately 80 nucleotides in length. Their secondary structure includes four short double-helical elements and three loops (D, anti-codon, and T loops). The record is from RNAcentral. Lineage: Bacteria; Candidatus Bipolaricaulota.
GCCGAGGUGGCGGAAUUGGCAGACGCGCACGUUUGAGGGGCGUGUGGGGUAACCCGUGGGGGUUCGAGUCCCCCCCUCGGCACCA